RNAcentral lists this ribosomal RNA (555 nucleotides) under Campylobacter jejuni. RNAcentral's name for it is "partial 23S ribosomal RNA". It matches the Rfam family "Bacterial large subunit ribosomal RNA", at positions 614 to 1172 of the family's 2925-position model. Lineage: Bacteria; Pseudomonadati; Campylobacterota; Epsilonproteobacteria; Campylobacterales; Campylobacteraceae. The record is from RNAcentral.
AAUGAGCCUGCGAGUUGUGGUGUCUGGCAAGGUUAAGCAAACGCGAAGCCGUAGCGAAAGCGAGUCUGAAUAGGGCGCUUAGUCAGAUGCUGCAGACCCGAAACGAAGUGAUCUAUCCAUGAGCAAGUUGAAGCUAGUGUAAGAACUAGUGGAGGACUGAACCCAUAGGCGUUGAAAAGCCCCGGGAUGACUUGUGGAUAGGGGUGAAAGGCCAAUCAAACUUCGUGAUAGCUGGUUCUCUCCGAAAUAUAUUUAGGUAUAGCGUUGUGUCGUAAUAUAAGGGGGUAGAGCACUGAAUGGGCUAGGGCAUACACCAAUGUACCAAACCCUAUCAAACUCCGAAUACCUUAUAUGUAAUCACAGCAGUCAGGCGGCGAGUGAUAAAAUCCGUCGUCAAGAGGGAAACAACCCAGACUACCAGCUAAGGUCCCUAAAUCUUACUUAAGUGGAAAACGAUGUGAAGUUACUUAAACAACCAGGAGGUUGGCUUAGAAGCAGCCAUCCUUUAAAGAAAGCGUAAUAGCUCACUGGUCUAGUGAUUUUGCGCGGAAAAUA